RNAcentral lists this long non-coding RNA (469 nucleotides) under Oryctolagus cuniculus (rabbit). Its description in RNAcentral is "lncRNA (ENSOCUG00000033684.1)". Lineage: Eukaryota; Metazoa; Chordata; Mammalia; Lagomorpha; Leporidae. The record is from RNAcentral.
GUUCAGCAUUUGAUUUAAUUUUGAAAGUGAAUCACCUCCACCUGAAGAUGCCCCUCUAUACCCCCAUUCACCUGGAUCUCAGUAUCAGCAGAAUAACCACGUGCAUGGACAGCCGUAUACUGGCCCAGCAGCACAUCACAUGAACAACCCUCAGAGAACUGGCCAAUGAGCACAAGAAAAUUAUGAAGGCAGUGAAGAAGUGUCCCCACCUCAGACCAAGGAUCAGUGAAAUGCACAUAAUGAACUGGCUCCAUCAAGACUGUGCACCCAGGCCUUACAGUCCAACAUUUUUCUGUGUCUGCUUCCUGCUGAUGUCCAUCCUGGGAGAUAGAUGACAAUAACUCAACUAAUUGUGUCCCUGCCAUAUAUAUGGGUUCAGGUCCUGGUUUUUUAGUUUGGCCUCAGUCCAGCUUCAGUUGUCAUAACUUUGAGGAAUAAACCAGAGGAUGAAAAUUAUCUGUCUGUCUUU